GCUCCAAUGGCUUAGUGGUUAGAGCGUCCGCUUCGGAUGCGGGAGGGAGGUCGUGGGCUCUAUGCCCGGUCGAGUCA
Potamilus streckersoni is the source of this 77-nucleotide non-coding RNA. Lineage: Eukaryota; Metazoa; Mollusca; Bivalvia; Unionida; Unionidae. The record is from the annotation of a GenBank genome assembly.